Molecule: long non-coding RNA, 774 nt
Organism: Aegilops tauschii subsp. strangulata
Lineage: Eukaryota; Viridiplantae; Streptophyta; Magnoliopsida; Poales; Poaceae
Source: RefSeq, a predicted model, not a curated record
AAGAUUUCCGCUGCUUCGAGUUGUUCUGCUGCUCGCAUAGAGCAAGUGUAGUAUCGCAGGCGUAGUGUCGUCGUGCUGAUGUGAACCUUUGUAACAUCAGACCUUUGUAUUUACUCUUGUAAUAAGAGAUGAUUUGUUCUAUGUCAAGCAAUGUCGUAUUCCAGAGACUUCUCCUCGAUCUCUUGGCUGGAAUACGGGGCGUUCCGGUUUCUCUGAGCCGGGGUGCCACAUCGGGAUAGUGCGGUUCUUCUCCGAGUUGUACAUGUCGGAUCCAAGCUUUUGCAAGCUUGAGAUGCGUUCCAAACAACGGUGCCCGGGCCACGGGCUCAUUCCCACUCGUUGUGUGGCCUGGGGAGGAGCCAGCACGGGGAGAUGUUUCCUUGGUUGCCCACAUGAUCUUCCUGAUGAAUGUGAAUUGGUUGUUUGGGUUGACCCUCCUCCUCCAGAUCGUGUUGGACGUGCUAUCGAGGAACUACAUGGUGGGCUAGAGCGAAGUUGGCUCAAAGCUCAUCGUUUAGGGAGGAGGGUGGCACAUCUAACCAAGCUGAUGGAAACAUGCGCAUUUUUAUGAUUGUUGGCAUAUGCAUUGUGGCGUAUUUAUUUCCUUCGAAGAAUGCAUAUUAGGUGAUGCUGUAGGCAGUGAGAUUUUAAUGUGUUUGGUUGCUGAAGUUGAGUAGAAUUUGCUGUGAGUGGUUCUUGGUGGUGAACCUUUGAUGUUGUGCACAUUUUGCAAAGGAAAUGAGAAGCAUCAGCUUGGUCUUGUGAUUUUUUUUA